CGCAUAUUGCGCCCUCUGGCAUUCCGGAGGGCAUGCCUGUCCGAGCGUCAUUAUCAACCCUCAAGCCCCUGGCUUGGUCUUGGAUCCCGUCGAGCUCGUCGGAGCACGACGGACCCGAAAAGGAAAGGCGGAGCCCGUGGAAACUCUGGAUGCAGCGAGCUCUACAGCACGCGUCGUGGUGGAUCCCAGGCUCGGCCAAAACCGAUAUAUCAUCCUAAGAUUGACCUCGGAUCAGGUAGGGAUACCCGCUGAACUUAA
RNAcentral lists this unclassified non-coding RNA (258 nucleotides) under Normandina sp. RNAcentral's name for it is "partial contains 5.8S ribosomal RNA, internal transcribed spacer 2, and large subunit ribosomal RNA". Lineage: Eukaryota; Fungi; Ascomycota; Eurotiomycetes; Verrucariales; Verrucariaceae. The record is from RNAcentral.